RNAcentral lists this ribosomal RNA (439 nucleotides) under uncultured bacterium. RNAcentral's name for it is "SSU rRNA". It matches the Rfam family "Bacterial small subunit ribosomal RNA", at positions 26 to 518 of the family's 1533-position model. The record is from RNAcentral.
AGAAUGAACGCUAGCGAUAUGCUUAACACAUGCAAGUUGAACGUUGUUUUCGAAUCAGAAUGAGAACAAAGUAGCGAACGGGUGCGUAACACGUGGGAAUCUGCCGAACAGUUUGGGCCAAAUCCCGAAUGAAUAAAAGCUAAAAAGCGCUGUUUGAUGAGCCCACGUAGUAUUAGGUAGUUGGUUAGGUAAAAGCUGACCAAGCCUACGAUGCUUAGCUGGUCUUUUCGGAUGAUCAGCCACACUGGGACUGAGACACGGCCCCAGACUCCUACGGGAGGCAGCAGUGGGGAAUCUUGGACAAUGGGCGAAAGCCUGAUCCGGCAAUAUGGCGUGAGUGAAGAAGGGCAACGCAGCUUGUAAAGCUCUUUCAUCGAGUGUGCGAUUGUGACAAGACUCGAAUAAGAACGCCCCGGCUAACCUCCGCGCCAGCAGCCGC